AAGGAAGAACAGAAAACACGUAAGUACUGCUAAUCCUUACGCCCCAAGGUUAAAAUCCGUGGCUUCCUUGC
RNAcentral lists this transfer RNA (71 nucleotides) under Puntioplites proctozystron. RNAcentral's name for it is "tRNA-Ser". The record is from RNAcentral. Lineage: Eukaryota; Metazoa; Chordata; Actinopteri; Cypriniformes; Cyprinidae.